GGAUGAGCCCGCGGCCUAUCAGCUAGUUGGUGAGGUAAUGGCUCACCAAGGCGUCGACGGGUAGCCGGCCUGAGAGGGUGACCGGCCACACUGGGACUGAGACACGGCCCAGACUCCUACGGGAGGCAGCAGUGGGGAAUAUUGCACAAUGGGCGCAAGCCUGAUGCAGCAACGCCGCGUGAGGGACGACGGCCUUCGGGUUGUAAACCUCUUUUAGCAGGGAAGAAGCGAAAGUGACGGUACCUGCAGAAAAAGCACCGGCUAACUACGUGACAGCAGCCGCGGCCG
RNAcentral lists this ribosomal RNA (288 nucleotides) under uncultured Microbacterium sp. RNAcentral's name for it is "partial 16S ribosomal RNA". It matches the Rfam family "Bacterial small subunit ribosomal RNA", at positions 223 to 523 of the family's 1533-position model. Lineage: Bacteria; Bacillati; Actinomycetota; Actinomycetes; Micrococcales; Microbacteriaceae. The record is from RNAcentral.